GUGGAGGGUGAAGACGCGAGCAGCCUCGAAGCCCACCAACAGUGGCUGUGUGCUGAGAGCGAAAGUUGGUGCCUGACGGAGGCCAGAUUGAGCUUCGAAUGGUUGCGACUGCCUGAUGGAUGCUUAUCCCUACCUGAUGGAUGCUAGGAGGUUCCGAAAAGACUAAAAGCGCCAGACAAAGAUCGAGCUAAUGAAGGUAAUGCCGGACGGAUCCAUCAUCAGUCUUGCUUCCAGGAAGAUUUUGAGAUGCAACAAGGAGCUGCUAGAGCACAUCACCGUGAUCUCAGUGGAAGGUGCCAACUGCAAGCUCAUGAAGCGAGGGAACCAUCCCGACGGCACCCUGCAUUGCCUUCUCGGGGUACAAUGUGAAGGCAGCGAAGAGCAUGAACAUACACGUUGAUACAGUUUGGCUUUUCGAAGUGCAAGAUGCGGAGGAUGGCUUUACUGUGGUCAUGGCGGCCUACUGGCUUUUUGGCUUCACCCAUGGCCAGAAGACGUACAAU
Ixodes scapularis (black-legged tick) is the source of this 503-nucleotide long non-coding RNA. RefSeq lists it as uncharacterized. The record is from RefSeq and is a predicted model, not a curated record. Lineage: Eukaryota; Metazoa; Arthropoda; Arachnida; Ixodida; Ixodidae. The transcript has 3 exons.